UCUCAGGCUGUGACCCUCUAGAGGGAAGCACUUUGUCUUGUGUGAAAGAAAAGAAAGCGCUUCCCUUCAGAGGAUUACUCUUUGAGA
Molecule: microRNA precursor, 87 nt
Organism: Colobus angolensis palliatus
Lineage: Eukaryota; Metazoa; Chordata; Mammalia; Primates; Cercopithecidae
Source: Ensembl